RNAcentral lists this ribosomal RNA (490 nucleotides) under Paraclostridium bifermentans. RNAcentral's name for it is "bacterial SSU rRNA". It matches the Rfam family "Bacterial small subunit ribosomal RNA", at positions 42 to 563 of the family's 1533-position model. The record is from RNAcentral. Lineage: Bacteria; Bacillati; Bacillota; Clostridia; Peptostreptococcales; Peptostreptococcaceae.
GCGCGUGCUACCAUGCAAGUCGAGCGAUCUCUUCGGAGAGAGCGGCGGACGGGUGAGUAACGCGUGGGUAACCUGCCCUGUACACACGGAUAACAUACCGAAAGGUAUACUAAUACGGGAUAACAUACGAAAGUCGCAUGGCUUUUGUAUCAANGCUCCGGCGGUACAGGAUGGACCCGCGUCUGAUUAGCUAGUUGGUAAGGUAAUGGCUUACCAAGGCAACGAUCAGUAGCCGACCUGAGAGGGUGAUCGGCCACACUGGAACUGAGACACGGUCCAGACUCCUACGGGAGGCAGCAGUGGGGAAUAUUGCACAAUGGGCGAAAGCCUGAUGCAGCAACGCCGCGUGAGCGAUGAAGGCCUUCGGGUCGUAAAGCUCUGUCCUCAAGGAAGAUAAUGACGGUACUUGAGGAGGAAGCCCCGGCUAACUACGUGCCAGCAGCCGCGGUAAUACGUANGGGGCUAGCGUUUUCCGGAAUUCUGGGCGUAA